UAUUAAGUGUAAACUGAGAAAAAGUAUGAAUAGCAGUAGGGUGCAUAGGUAACAUGAAGGAAAAAGAAACGAGAAAGAGAUGGGAAGAUGGUGAACCCCAGAUACGUUACAGAGUCUCAGUAGGUAGUUUUGGGAUAAGUGUUUCAGGGUAGCAAGGAUGAGUGGUUUCUUAUGAAGGAAGUGGUGUUAUUCUGCAUGGGAAAAGCUAUUACGGAAGAGAAUAAGAAGAGAGUUGGGUGACUGAAAGUUGUUUAUUUGAUGGUUGGUGAGGGAGGUGGUGACGUGAAUUUUCGUGGAAGAAGAAAAGAGAGAGGGAUAGGUGUAUUUGACACGUGAAUAAGUUAGAAAUGAGAGAAAGACUAUGAAAAAAAAAAAAAAGAAUAUGUGGGUGCUCGAACUAUAUGGGAAAAAGGGCUUUAAAUUGGGUGUUAAAAUGGGAAUUUUAAAAUGAAAAGGGAAUCGGGAGUGGCAGUUUUCUUUACACAGCAGACAAGAUUUUCUUUAUAGGAAGAAAUAUAGAGGAGAGAAAGUGUGCAUUAUAGGUGAGAUCAUAUGAGAAAGAAUGUAAUUGGGUUUAAAUAUAAAUGCAAACACAUCUUGACCCGUAUGUAUGCAGUGUCAAAAUAAUGUCAAAAAAUGGUGUUAAAAUAUCAUUGUCUAUGUGAGAGAAAGGGAAAAGAUUGGAGUGAGUGGAAGAAUAGAAAUGGAGCCAGGGGAGAAGAAGAAACUUACGUAUGAUGAUGAGGAUGAAUUUUAUGAAGUUGAUUUUUUUUAUUAGAGAAGUUUAUAUAUUAAAUGCAGAGAUUAAUUUUGCUUUUAUGUUUCAUGCUUAAAGGAUUUUAUUUUUCUGUUACAUGUCUAAAGGGGUACAUGAAUGGUAGAAUAGAAAGUGUUUAUUUGGAUAUUUUAUGUUAUAGACAUUGAAUGGUGUAGGUUUCAAAUAGGAAAAGAUGGAAAUUUGGAAUUUAUUUGAAUACCAGAAAGGUUGCCAAGGUUAUUCAGCUAACUUAAAUUUUAUUUAAUAUUAU
Molecule: long non-coding RNA, 1028 nt
Filed under: Vigna radiata
Lineage: Eukaryota; Viridiplantae; Streptophyta; Magnoliopsida; Fabales; Fabaceae
Description: long non-coding RNA (VRAD_LNC018445)
Source: RNAcentral